RNAcentral lists this ribosomal RNA (246 nucleotides) under uncultured bacterium. RNAcentral describes it as "partial 16S ribosomal RNA". It matches the Rfam family "Bacterial small subunit ribosomal RNA", at positions 15 to 263 of the family's 1533-position model. The record is from RNAcentral.
GAUCCUGGCUCAGGAUGAACGCUAGCGGGAGGCCUAACACAUGCAAGCCGAGCGGUAUUGUUUCUUCGGAAAUGAGAGAGCGGCGUACGGGUGCGGAACACGUGUGCAACCUGCCUUUAUCUGGGGGAUAGCCUUUCGAAAGGAAGAUUAAUACUCCAUAAUAUAUUGAACGGCAUCGUUUAAUAUUGAAAGCUCCGGCGGAUAGAGAUGGGCACGCGCAAGAUUAGCUAGUUGGUGAGGUAACGG